UACCACGGGCUAUGCCCGUGGUUCUGAAAAGCUUAUAGCUAUGAGUAGAAAAAAUUUUCCUCCUUUGAUAGAAUAAAUGAUAACGGUCUGCCAACCGAGAUCAAAUCAAAGGAGGAA
RNAcentral lists this small RNA (117 nucleotides) under Caloramator mitchellensis. RNAcentral describes it as "STnc490 Hfq binding RNA". Lineage: Bacteria; Bacillati; Bacillota; Clostridia; Eubacteriales; Clostridiaceae. The record is from Rfam by way of RNAcentral.